Molecule: ribosomal RNA, 341 nt
Filed under: uncultured Bacteroidota bacterium
Lineage: Bacteria; Pseudomonadati; Bacteroidota
Description: bacterial SSU rRNA
Rfam family: Bacterial small subunit ribosomal RNA
Source: RNAcentral
UGCAUGGUUGUCGUCAGCUCGUGCCGUGAGGUGUCGGGUUAAGUCCCAUAACGAGCGCAACCCCUAUUGUUAGUUGCCAUCAGGUCAUGCUGGGGACUCUAACAAAACUGCCCGCGUAAGCGUGGAGGAAGGUGGGGAUGACGUCAAAUCAGCACGGCCCUUACGUCCAGGGCUACACACGUGCUACAAUGGCCGGUACAGAGGGCAGCCACUUGGUGACAAGGAGCAAAUCUCAAAAGCCGGUCUCAGUUCGGAUCGGAGUCUGCAACUCGACUCCGUGAAGUUGGAUUCGCUAGUAAUCGUAGAUCAGCAAUGCUACGGUGAAUACGUUCCCGGGCCUU